Molecule: RNase P RNA, 468 nt
Filed under: Patescibacteria group bacterium
Lineage: Bacteria
Description: RNase P RNA component class A
Rfam family: Bacterial RNase P class A
About the family: Ribonuclease P (RNase P) is a ubiquitous endoribonuclease, found in archaea, bacteria and eukarya as well as chloroplasts and mitochondria. Its best characterised activity is the generation of mature 5'-ends of tRNAs by cleaving the 5'-leader elements of precursor-tRNAs. Cellular RNase Ps are ribonucleoproteins.
Source: RNAcentral
UAGGUAAGGCAGAUGACCGCGCUGGUGCAAACCGGUGAGGAAAGUCCGAGCCCCCUUUGUAUCGCAAGGUACAUCGUCGUGAGAGCAGUUAACGGCUGCCAGGUAUACUCAGAACGAACGGACACGUGCCGAACGUUCUGAUAAGCCUAGGGAAAGUGCCACAGAGACAAUACUAAUCGGGCGUAAGCUCGGUGAAAGGUGAAAAGUACUUCGAGGUCACUAUCUCCUUCGGGAGCAAUGGUUCGGCCACGUCGUUCCUCCGUUGGUAACAGCGGAGUGUGGUAAACCCUCUCUGGUGCAAGAGCAAGUCCGCGAGAAGGCAGUUGCUAUGAAGUAAUUCAGCGCAACAGUUUUUUCAAGGAAUGGUCGCUCGCUAGAGCGUCGCAGCGAUGCGACGUCGAGAGAGAUGGUCAUCAAUUCUGGCUUCGGUCAGGAAAACAAAACUCGGCUUAUAGCCUUGCCUACCCA